Molecule: long non-coding RNA, 2155 nt
Organism: Gopherus evgoodei (Goodes thornscrub tortoise)
Lineage: Eukaryota; Metazoa; Chordata; Testudines; Testudinidae
Source: Ensembl
AUGCAAGGAAAAGUUUUCCAUGUAGUUGAUAGCUUUUUUUUUUUUCUUCCCUUCUUUCUCUCUCUCUCUCUCUCCAUUGACUUGGAAAUAUUUCCUCCUUGUAUCUCUAGGGGCAGGAACUCUAAAAACAAAAUUGGAUGGUUUCUCCUCCCUCCUCACCCUGGAUCCCUUAUAGGAAUCACAGAUGGAUGAUUUUGAGAUGAGCCUUCAAGGAAAAUGUAUCUUUCUCUCCAUCAAUGUCAACUGUAAGAGAGAAUUUGGGCCCUGAAAAUAAAAGUUUUGGCCUCUCUCUGACCUGUAUUACAAGGACUCUUCAAAGUUAUGUCUAGGAAAGUCUGUACUAAAAACAGGAUUAAACUAGAAUGGAUGUGUAAAAGUUGGGUAUUUUUUGUAAAAACGUUCAGUGGUAGAACUGAGGAAGAAAUGGAGCUUUUUCAACUGUAAUCCACUGGUCUGAAUUCAGCCCAGGUCAGUAGUGGUUGUGGUUGGGAUUUUCACAGGAGACUUAAGGGCUUUAGAUGGCAUGCCGCUUUAGGCGCUUUUUGAAAAUCCCAGAUAUUUUUAAAGCUCUUAGUCACUGUAAUAUCUGUGGACUUGUACAAAAUUGAGGCUACGGAUAGUUAAUCAACAUUGGUCUAUUUAUAUUGCUGGGUCCAAAAUUACUUUCCACUCUUCUGUGAAUUUACUUUCCUGUGUCCACUGUCUGUCUUGUAUUACCAACACCAUUUAGAUUAGGCUGAGAUUUUCAAAUGUGCACAGGAUUUGGACUCUCAGUUCCCAUUAAAAAAAUUAAUGGGAAUUUAACAGGCAUAUGCCAUAGACUUGAAAAUCCUUAACCUAAAUGUAUUUAAACUACGUCUCCCUCAGUCGCCUGACACCAGCGCAGACCCUUAUUUCAUGCUCCUAAUGUUGUCAUCCUCUCUAAUCCUUUUUUCUCUCCACCCCAAAUAUGUAGAUCCUUUCCCACUAAGUGGGCAGCCAUCACUGCACAUCACCUACAUAUUACAGCUCUUGUGUUGAACAGCAGGGAGGCAGUGAGAGAGAUGGAGCUGAGCACUAGGGCUGUGUGAACUGACUUCAGCAAUGUGUGGUUUUGAGUUUAGACAUCCUGGGUUACAUGGAAGUCAGGACAAAAUCUCAAUGUCAUGAGCAGAGAUGCCAAGCUGGACCCUCAAAACCAGGGCCAUCCCAGAAAACAUGGGCCAUUUGGUCAUCAAGAGUUUUAACGGGUUUGUAGGGAUUCAGCUGAACAUAAAAAAAACAAGCAUUUCCCCAAAACCAUGUUUUUAAAGCAGGAUGAAUCUAAAAAUGUUGUAAUUAUCCUAUUUGUCAAUCAUUUGGAACUCCUCCUUAUGCAGAACUUGCAGUUUUAUUCUUUUCAUGUGAUUUGCCUUUUUACUGUGUGUGACAGUCUCACUCAAUUUGAUAGCAUUUCUGUGUAUUUGUCUGUACAUGUGUAAUGUGAUCACUUUUCAACACUAUGCUCUCCUUUCCAGUUUUUUCAGGGAAUAUUUGAGGUGCUGAGGGCCAAGAAUCUAUUGAUUUUGGAGAAAAUUGGAAAACUGAAGGGGAAAGUGGAGAGGGAGAGAGAGCUGGAUGGAUACACAGAGCCCCUGCUAGCUGUGUAGCACAACUGCAGAUUCAAGCAACUCAGCAAUUAACUAUAGACUCAAGAACUGGUUAAUGGCAGCCAUUAACCCCUUUUCCCCCAUAACAAUGCCCCUAUCUAAUGUGUGUGUCCUGCUGUCAUAAACAGAUAGCUAAAGGUUAAUGUCUCUUUCACCUGUAAAGGGUUAACAAACAGUGACCUGCAACACCUGACCAGAGGACCAAUCAGGAAACAAAAUACUUUCAAAUCUGGGUGGAGGGAAGCCUUUUUGUUUUUUUGGGUUUGUGCGUUGUUCUCUCUGGGUCCUGGACGGGACUAGAGGUGCAACCAGGUUUUUGCCAAUCUCCCUGCUACAGUUUCUUAUCUAUUCAGAAUUGUGAGUAAGAAAAAAGGCGGUUAUAGUCUUUUAAUUUGUUUUUCUUUUUUGCAUAUGUGUACUUGCUGGAAGUAGCUUAAAUUGUGUUUCUGCUGGAGAAAGUUUCUUUCUAUUGUUUAUAAGUUGAAAGACCCUGUAACUUUUUACCAUCUCAAUUGCAGAGAUAAACC